RNAcentral lists this long non-coding RNA (2467 nucleotides) under Bemisia tabaci. Its description in RNAcentral is "lncRNA ENSSSA2NGG012574". The record is from RNAcentral. Lineage: Eukaryota; Metazoa; Arthropoda; Insecta; Hemiptera; Aleyrodidae.
AAAAUUCAAUCCUACGAGAUGAAACUCUUUCGACAGUCUCUUCCAAAUGUCAUUCCUGGAUGUCUAUUUGUAAGCUUGGAGUACAGCAGUAGCUCCAAAUCGUUGAACGUCUUUGUAGAGCAAGCAAGCAAACUGGAAGCAACUUUGGCCGCUGGGAAGUGCCGUCUCUACGUCAAACUGUUGUUUUUGCAAGGAAACAAGAGAAUGAAGGAAUUGGAGUCGCCUCCUGUACUGAUGCAAAACUUGGAAGCCAAACUGAAUUAUACGGACUCGAUUAAAAUUGAUGAAAAUCACAUCAAAGAUAGCUCUUUAGUAAUCGCUCUAAAGUACAAAGGAAUGUUCCACGACAAAAAUGUUGGGAGAGUUAUUUUUGGCCCUUACUUUUACUCAGAAUUCGGCCACAAGUUGACGCCUUGGGGCAGGCUUUUUCUUAAAAAUGAACAAAUUAAAUAUUCUUUCCGUAUGUAUCUAUAAUAAAGUUAUUUAUCAAAUAUAUAUUUUAAAUUUUUUAAGAAUGUUUGUUGUUUCUUCCUCCAGGAAAAAAAAGAAAUUCCUUUAAGAUUUAGUGAGCUUUAAGGUGAAAAGAGCAACUAGAUUGCACUUCGCAAAAAGGAACUAGAACAUUCCAAUGUCGCUAAGAUCCUGCAAUUUUUUUUACAUUGCAAAUAUAAACUGAUUAUCUAAACAAGUUUUAUCCAUACGCCCAAUAAACUAUAUAUUCAAAAUGGAAGCUACCGUUAUAAAUUUUUCUCAUGAUUUCAGUAAUUUUAUUGCAACCAUGUAAGUUGCACGAUCCUAGCAACAAUGGGUCGUUCUUGAUUCCUUUUCGCAAAUUCAAUCCAUAUCACUCUUUUCUACUGUUUGCCUCACCCCACUCCCUACAUUUCGAAUUAUAGAGCUUUUGAUACCACCACUUCGAAUUACAGAGCUAAUGUACACAUCUCUUUAAUUCAAAUUUUUUUGCCACCGCUCUUUGUAAUUCAAAAUCUUGCCAAUGCGAAAACCCUUCAAUUCAAAAAAAGCCUCGGCCCCUUGAAUUUCGAAUUAGCAAGCGUGCACUGUAUUAAGAAAUGGCCCGAAGUGUAUGUAAAAAGGUGGUGAAUUGGUGCUGGGUCCACACCAUUUCGCAGGGGGAAAAAAGCCGAAAAGUUCAAAAAUUUCAAUUAGAGUCAGUCUUUCUCAGUCUUGUACUGGUAAGUACUCAUUAGAGCUCAACAUUUUUGACUCUAAUUUAAAUUUUUGGCUUUGUUUUCCCCGCGAAAUGGUGUGGACCCUGCACCAUUUCACCACCUUGUUACUAAUUAAUAAAUCCUCAGAUUGGAAGAAUGAUGCUUCAAUCUCCUAAGAUAUAUUUGUCAAUAUUUUCUGUAGUUGAAAGAACCAUGCCACUUUCCGUACCAUCUCUGGGUGGCGAGAUGAACAUAGGGCGAGAUAUCAUUUAACUUCCGUCAAUAACGACUGAGAUUUUUAGAUGGAUCGAUUACUUAUAUUUUAAGAUAGGGAAGCGUUUUUCCCAUAAGGUUUUUGUCCGUACGCGGUCCGUGUCUGUAUAGGGAAUGUCCGCGCGGCAUCACUGAUUGGCAGAUGCGCCCCCUCAGUGCGCCGAAGUCGCGCCCCUCCUCCGGCCGCUAGAAUGAUAAUGAGGGAAAUGAAGAAAAGAAAGAAAAGAAAAAAAAGAAGAAAAAGAAAAAAAGAAAAGAAUAAUAAUCAAAAAUCAAGGAGAGAGGAAAAUAAGUAAAGAAAAGAAUGCCUCUAAAUUAUAAGUAAACGGGAGAAGCUUUAGUAGAAGUUAUAGAGGAAAGCGCAUUCUGUAUCUGUCCCCUUGUCUCAUUUUUCUUUUCUUUAUCUAUGUAGUGUUCCUACUUUGCAGUGGCGUAACGGGCGCCCCCGCAGAUCCUGCUAUACAGGGGGGGCCCAGGCGCGUAGGGGGCCCUCGGCGGCCGGGAUUUUUUUUCUCUUUGAUGCUCAGCUUUGGUUUCAAACUUUGGGCCUUCACUUAUCGAGAUGGGGCUUCUGCUUUCUAUUGUUAGCUUGGGGUUUUUCAUACUUCUUUUGGACUGUUCCUAAGUUUUGUUUGCUGGAGGGCCCCUGCCUUCCAACGACUCAGUGAUAACUAAAUAAUUUUCUCUUUAUAUGCCACUUUUCGUUUUUCGAUCUUUGGUAGGCCCAAGAAUCUAAAAGGCCCCCAAGGGGGCUCCCGCCCUCCUUUACCUCCCCGCUGCGAGCUCUGGUAGCUAUUUUUACGUUUUUUUGUUGUUUUUUUUUUUCAAUUAUUUGCGCAAACAUGCAAGUGAAUCAAAUUCAACCUAUAUAACGUAAAAAUAGGUUAGAUCCUGCACAUACCAUACCUAAAGGUAAAAAUAUAUAAGCUGCUGCCAUUUUGAUAUUUUUGGUGGUUAAGGCUGAUUUUCUCAAUAACUUUCGUGCUGCGGGCCUCGACCAUAAGAGAAAAAUCGGAAAGGGGUGA